RNAcentral lists this transfer RNA (70 nucleotides) under Leptobrachium bompu. Its description in RNAcentral is "tRNA-Val". Lineage: Eukaryota; Metazoa; Chordata; Amphibia; Anura; Megophryidae. The record is from RNAcentral.
CAGAAUGUAGCUUAAUUUAAAGUUCUUCGCUUACACCGAGUUCAUGCCCAUUAAACCUGGGUCAUUCUGA